RNAcentral lists this ribosomal RNA (1300 nucleotides) under Acinetobacter sp. Its description in RNAcentral is "bacterial SSU rRNA". It matches the Rfam family "Bacterial small subunit ribosomal RNA", at positions 25 to 1324 of the family's 1533-position model. The record is from RNAcentral. Lineage: Bacteria; Pseudomonadati; Pseudomonadota; Gammaproteobacteria; Moraxellales; Moraxellaceae.
CAGAUGAACGCUGGCGGCAGGCUUAACACAUGCAAGUCGAGCGGGGGAAGGUAGCUUGCUACCGGACCUAGCGGCGGACGGGUGAGUAAUGCUUAGGAAUCUGCCUAUUAGUGGGGGACAACAUCUCGAAAGGGAUGCUAAUACCGCAUACGUCCUACGGGAGAAAGCAGGGGAUCUUCGGACCUUGCGCUAAUAGAUGAGCCUAAGUCGGAUUAGCUAGUUGGUGGGGUAAAGGCCUACCAAGGCGACGAUCUGUAGCGGGUCUGAGAGGAUGAUCCGCCACACUGGGACUGAGACACGGCCCAGACUCCUACGGGAGGCAGCAGUGGGGAAUAUUGGACAAUGGGGGGAACCCUGAUCCAGCCAUGCCGCGUGUGUGAAGAAGGCCUUAUGGUUGUAAAGCACUUUAAGCGAGGAGGAGGCUACUUUAGUUAAUACCUAGAGAUAGUGGACGUUACUCGCAGAAUAAGCACCGGCUAACUCUGUGCCAGCAGCCGCGGUAAUACAGAGGGUGCGAGCGUUAAUCGGAUUUACUGGGCGUAAAGCGUGCGUAGGCGGCUUAUUAAGUCGGAUGUGAAAUCCCCGAGCUUAACUUGGGAAUUGCAUUCGAUACUGGUGAGCUAGAGUAUGGGAGAGGAUGGUAGAAUUCCAGGUGUAGCGGUGAAAUGCGUAGAGAUCUGGAGGAAUACCGAUGGCGAAGGCAGCCAUCUGGCCUAAUACUGACGCUGAGGUACGAAAGCAUGGGGAGCAAACAGGAUUAGAUACCCUGGUAGUCCAUGCCGUAAACGAUGUCUACUAGCCGUUGGGGCCUUUGAGGCUUUAGUGGCGCAGCUAACGCGAUAAGUAGACCGCCUGGGGAGUACGGUCGCAAGACUAAAACUCAAAUGAAUUGACGGGGGCCCGCACAAGCGGUGGAGCAUGUGGUUUAAUUCGAUGCAACGCGAAGAACCUUACCUGGCCUUGACAUACUAGAAACUUUCCAGAGAUGGAUUGGUGCCUUCGGGAAUCUAGAUACAGGUGCUGCAUGGCUGUCGUCAGCUCGUGUCGUGAGAUGUUGGGUUAAGUCCCGCAACGAGCGCAACCCUUUUCCUUACUUGCCAGCAUUUCGGAUGGGAACUUUAAGGAUACUGCCAGUGACAAACUGGAGGAAGGCGGGGACGACGUCAAGUCAUCAUGGCCCUUACGGCCAGGGCUACACACGUGCUACAAUGGUCGGUACAAAGGGUUGCUACACAGCGAUGUGAUGCUAAUCUCAAAAAGCCGAUCGUAGUCCGGAUACACACGUGCUACAAUGGUCGGU